UACGUAGGUGGCAAGCGUUGUCCGGAAUUAUUGGGCGUAAAGCGCGCGCAGGCGGUCCUUUAAGUCUGAUGUGAAAGCCCCCGGCUCAACUGGGGAGUGUCGUGCGAUACGGGCGGACUGGAGGCCAGUAGGGGGAUGCGGAAUUCCGGGUGUAGUGGUGGAAUGCGUAGAGAUCCGGAGGAACACCAGCGGCGAAGGCGGCAUCCUGGACUGGUCCUGACACUCAUGAGCGAAAGCGUGGGGAGCGAUCCGG
This 253-nucleotide ribosomal RNA is filed under the name uncultured bacterium. Its description in RNAcentral is "partial 16S ribosomal RNA". It matches the Rfam family "Bacterial small subunit ribosomal RNA", at positions 524 to 776 of the family's 1533-position model. The record is from RNAcentral.